AGCAGCCGCGGUAAUUCCAGCUCCAAUAGCGUAUAUUAAAGUUGUUGCAGUUAAAAAGCUCGUAGUUGAAUUUCGGGGUCAGUAGAUUGGUCAUGCCUCCGGUAUGCACUGGUCUUACUGGCUCCUCCUUCCUGAUGAACCGUAAUGCCAUUAAUUUGGUGUUGCGGGGAGACUGGACUGUUACUUUGAAAAAUUGAGUGUUUAAAGCAGGCUAACGCUUGAAUACAUUAGCAUGGAAUAAUGAAAUAGGACGUUCGAUCUUAUUUUGUUGGUUUCUAAGAUUGACGUAAUGAUUAAUAGGGAUAGUUGGGGGCAUUAGUAUUCAAUUGUCAGAGGUGAAAUUCUUGGAUUUAUUGAAGACUAACUACUGCGAAAGCAUUUGCCAAGGAUGUUUUCAUUAAUCAAGAACGAAAGUUAGGGGAUCGAAGACGAUCAGAUACCGUCGUAGUCUUAACCAUAAACUAAUGCCGACUAGGGAUCGGAUGAUGUUAAUUUUAAU
Molecule: ribosomal RNA, 499 nt
Filed under: uncultured Glomus
Lineage: Eukaryota; Fungi; Glomeromycota; Glomeromycetes; Glomerales; Glomeraceae
Description: SSU rRNA
Rfam family: Eukaryotic small subunit ribosomal RNA
Source: RNAcentral